AGAGUUUGAUCCUGGCUCAGGAUGAACGCUGGCGGCGUGCCUAAUACAUGCAAGUCGAGCGAACGGACGAGAAGCUUGCUUCUCUGAUGUUAGCGGCGGACGGGUGAGUAACACGUGGAUAACCUACCUAUAAGACUGGGAUAACUUCGGGAAACCGGAGCUAAUACCGGAUAAUAUUUUGAACCGCAUGGUUCAAAAGUGAAAGACGGUCUUGCUGUCACUUAUAGAUGGAUCCGCGCUGCAUUAGCUAGUUGGUAAGGUAACGGCUUACCAAGGCAACGAUGCAUAGCCGACCUGAGAGGGUGAUCGGCCACACUGGAACUGAGACACGGUCCAGACUCCUACGGGAGGCAGCAGUAGGGAAUCUUCCGCAAUGGGCGAAAGCCUGACGGAGCAACGCCGCGUGAGUGAUGAAGGUCUUCGGAUCGUAAAACUCUGUUAUUAGGGAAGAACAUAUGUGUAAGUAACUGUGCACAUCUUGACGGUACCUAAUCAGAAAGCCACGGCUAACUACGUGCCAGCAGCCGCGGUAAUACGUAGGUGGCAAGCGUUAUCCGGAAUUAUUGGGCGUAAAGCGCGCGUAGGCGGUUUUUUAAGUCUGAUGUGAAAGCCCACGGCUCAACCGUGGAGGGUCAUUGGAAACUGGAAAACUUGAGUGCAGAAGAGGAAAGUGGAAUUCCAUGUGUAGCGGUGAAAUGCGCAGAGAUAUGGAGGAACACCAGUGGCGAAGGCGACUUUCUGGUCUGUAACUGACGCUGAUGUGCGAAAGCGUGGGGAUCAAACAGGAUUAGAUACCCUGGUAGUCCACGCCGUAAACGAUGAGUGCUAAGUGUUAGGGGGUUUCCGCCCCUUAGUGCUGCAGCUAACGCAUUAAGCACUCCGCCUGGGGAGUACGACCGCAAGGUUGAAACUCAAAGGAAUUGACGGGGACCCGCACAAGCGGUGGAGCAUGUGGUUUAAUUCGAAGCAACGCGAAGAACCUUACCAAAUCUUGACAUCCUUUGACAACUCUAGAGAUAGAGCCUUCCCCUUCGGGGGACAAAGUGACAGGUGGUGCAUGGUUGUCGUCAGCUCGUGUCGUGAGAUGUUGGGUUAAGUCCCGCAACGAGCGCAACCCUUAAGCUUAGUUGCCAUCAUUAAGUUGGGCACUCUAAGUUGACUGCCGGUGACAAACCGGAGGAAGGUGGGGAUGACGUCAAAUCAUCAUGCCCCUUAUGAUUUGGGCUACACACGUGCUACAAUGGACAAUACAAAGGGCAGCGAAACCGCGAGGUCAAGCAAAUCCCAUAAAGUUGUUCUCAGUUCGGAUUGUAGUCUGCAACUCGACUACAUGAAGCUGGAAUCGCUAGUAAUCGUAGAUCAGCAUGCUACGGUGAAUACGUUCCCGGGUCUUGUACACACCGCCCGUCACACCACGAGAGUUUGUAACACCCGAAGCCGGUGGAGUAAC
RNAcentral lists this ribosomal RNA (1450 nucleotides) under Staphylococcus aureus M0350. RNAcentral's name for it is "bacterial SSU rRNA". It matches the Rfam family "Bacterial small subunit ribosomal RNA". The record is from RNAcentral. Lineage: Bacteria; Bacillati; Bacillota; Bacilli; Caryophanales; Staphylococcaceae.